CCUACGGGAGGCAGCAGUAGGGAAUCUUCCGCAAUGGACGAAAGUCUGACGGAGCAACGCCGCGUGAACGAUGAAGGCCUUCGGGUCGUAAAGUUCUGUUGUUAGGGAAGAACAAGUGCUAGUUGAAUAAGCUGGCACCUUGACGGUACCUAACCAGAAAGCCACGGCUAACUACGUGCCAGCAGCCGCGGUAAUACGUAGGUGGCAAGCGUUGUCCGGAAUUAUUGGGCGUAAAGCGCGCGCAGGCGGUUUCUUAAGUCUGAUGUGAAAGCCCCCGGCUCAACCGGGGAGGGUCAUUGGAAACUGGGAAACUUGAGUGCAGAAGAGGAAAGUGGAAUUCCAAGUGUAGCGGUGAAAUGCGUAGAGAUUUGGAGGAACACCAGUGGCGAAGGCGACUUUCUGGUCUGUAACUGACGCUGAGGCGCGAAAGCGUGGGGAGCAAACAGGAUUAGAUACCCUGGUAGUCCACGCUGUAAACGAUGAGUGCUAAGUGUUAGAGGGUUUUCCGCCCUUUUAGUGCUGAAGUUAACGCAUUAAGCACUCCGCCUGGGGNUACGGUCGCAAGACUGAAACUCAAAUGAAUUGACGG
This 589-nucleotide ribosomal RNA is filed under the name uncultured bacterium. Its description in RNAcentral is "bacterial SSU rRNA". It matches the Rfam family "Bacterial small subunit ribosomal RNA", at positions 338 to 916 of the family's 1533-position model. The record is from RNAcentral.